GGGUUGUGAGGUUAAGCGACUAAGCGUACACGGUGGAUGCCCUGGCAGUCAGAGGCGAUGAAGGACGUGCUAAUCUGCGAAAAGCGUCGGUAAGGUGAUAUGAACCGUUACAGCCGGCGAUGUCCGAAUGGGGAAACCCAGUGCAAUUCGUUGCACUAUCGUUAACUGAAUACAUAGGUUAACGAGGCGAACCGGGGGAACUGAAACAUCUAAGUACCCCGAGGAAAAGAAAUCAACCGAGAUUCCCCCAGUAGCGGCGAGCGAACGGGGAGCAGCCCAGAGUCUGAAUCAGCUUGUGUGUUAGUGGAACGGUCUGGAAAGUCCGACGGUACAGGGUGAUAGUCCCGUACACCAAAAUGCACAGGUUGUGAACUCGAAGAGUAGGGCGGGACACGUGGUAUCCUGUCUGAAUAUGGGGGGACCAUCCUCCAAGGCUAAAUACUCCUGACUGACCGAUAGUGAACCAGUACCGUGAGGGAAAGGCGAAAAGAACCCCGGCGAGGGGAGUGAAAAAGAACCUGAAACCGUGUACGUACAAGCAGUGGGAGCACCUUCGGGUGUGACUGCGUACCUUUUGUAUAAUGGGUCAGCGACUUAUAUUCUGUAGCAAGGUUAACCGUAUAGGGGAGCCGCAGGGAAACCGAGUCUUAACUGGGCGUUAAGUUGCAGGGUAUAGACCCGAAACCCGGUGAUCUAGCCAUGGGCAGGUUGAAGGUUGGGUAACACUAACUGGAGGACCGAACCGACUAAUGUUGAAAAAUUAGCGGAUGACUUGUGGCUGGGGGUGAAAGGCCAAUCAAACCGGGAGAUAGCUGGUUCUCCCCGAAAGCUAUUUAGGUAGCGCCUCGUGAACUCAUCUUCGGGGGUAGAGCACUGUUUCGGCUAGGGGGUCAUCCCGACUUACCAACCCGAUGCAAACUACGAAUACCGAAGAAUGUUAUCACGGGAGACACACGGCGGGUGCUAACGUCCGUCGUGAAGAGGGAAACAACCCAGACCGCCAGCUAAGGUCCCAAAGUCAUGGUUAAGUGGGAAACGAUGUGGGAAGGCACAGACAGCCAGGAUGUUGGCUUAGAAGCAGCCAUCAUUUAAAGAAAGCGUAAUAGCUCACUGGUCGAGUCGGCCUGCGCGGAAGAUGUAACGGGGCUAAACCAUGCACCGAAGCUGCGGCAGCGACACUAUGUGUUGUUGGGUAGGGGAGCGUUCUGUAAGCCUGCGAAGGUGACCUGUGAGGGUUGCUGGAGGUAUCAGAAGUGCGAAUGCUGACAUAAGUAACGAUAAAGCGGGUGAAAAGCCCGCUCGCCGGAAGACCAAGGGUUCCUGUCCAACGUUAAUCGGGGCAGGGUGAGUCGACCCCUAAGGCGAGGCCGAAAGGCGUAGUCGAUGGGAAACAGGUUAAUAUUCCUGUACUUGGUGUUACUGCGAAGGGGGGACGGAGAAGGCUAUGUUAGCCGGGCGACGGUUGUCCCGGUUUAAGCAUGUAGGCUGGUUAUCCAGGCAAAUCCGGAUAAUCAAGGCUGAGGUGUGAUGACGAGGUACUACGGUGCUGAAGUAACAAAUGCCCUGCUUCCAGGAAAAGCCUCUAAGCAUCAGGUAACAUCAAAUCGUACCCCAAACCGACACAGGUGGUCAGGUAGAGAAUACCAAGGCGCUUGAGAGAACUCGGGUGAAGGAACUAGGCAAAAUGGUGCCGUAACUUCGGGAGAAGGCACGCUGGUGUGUAGGUGAAGCCCCUGCGGGUGGAGCUGAGACCAGUCGAAGAUACCAGCUGGCUGCAACUGUUUAUUAAAAACACAGCACUGUGCAAACACGAAAGUGGACGUAUACGGUGUGACGCCUGCCCGGUGCCGGAAGGUUAAUUGAUGGGGUUAUCCGUAAGGAGAAGCUCUUGAUCGAAGCCCCGGUAAACGGCGGCCGUAACUAUAACGGUCCUAAGGUAGCGAAAUUCCUUGUCGGGUAAGUUCCGACCUGCACGAAUGGCGUAAUGAUGGCCAGGCUGUCUCCACCCGAGACUCAGUGAAAUUGAACUCGCUGUGAAGAUGCAGUGUACCCGCGGCAAGACGGAAAGACCCCGUGAACCUUUACUAUAGCUUGACACUGAACAUUGAGCCUUGAUGUGUAGGAUAGGUGGGAGGCUUUGAAGCGUGGACGCCAGUCUGCGUGGAGCCAACCUUGAAAUACCACCCUUUAAUGUUUGAUGUUCUAACGUUGGCCCCUUACCGGGGUUGCGGACAGUGUCUGGUGGGUAGUUUGACUGGGGCGGUCUCCUCCCAAAGCGUAACGGAGGAGCACGAAGGUUAGCUAAUCCUGGUCGGACAUCAGGAGGUUAGUGCAAUGGCAUAAGCUAGCUUGACUGCGAGCGUGACGGCGCGAGCAGGUGCGAAAGCAGGUCAUAGUGAUCCGGUGGUUCUGAAUGGAAGGGCCAUCGCUCAACGGAUAAAAGGUACUCCGGGGAUAACAGGCUGAUACCGCCCAAGAGUUCAUAUCGACGGCGGUGUUUGGCACCUCGAUGUCGGCUCAUCACAUCCUGGGGCUGAAGUAGGUCCCAAGGGUAUGGCUGUUCGCCAUUUAAAGUGGUACGCGAGCUGGGUUUAGAACGUCGUGAGACAGUUCGGUCCCUAUCUGCCGUGGGCGCUGGAGAAUUGAGGGGGGCUGCUCCUAGUACGAGAGGACCGGAGUGGACGCAUCACUGGUGUUCGGGUUGUCAUGCCAAUGGCACUGCCCGGUAGCUAAAUGCGGAAGAGAUAAGUGCUGAAAGCAUCUAAGCACGAAACUUGCCCCGAGAUGAGUUCUCCCUGAGACUUUAAGUCUCCUGAAGGAACGUU
This 2825-nucleotide ribosomal RNA is filed under the name Klebsiella pneumoniae. Its description in RNAcentral is "partial 23S ribosomal RNA". It matches the Rfam family "Bacterial large subunit ribosomal RNA". The record is from RNAcentral. Lineage: Bacteria; Pseudomonadati; Pseudomonadota; Gammaproteobacteria; Enterobacterales; Enterobacteriaceae.